UACGGAGGGGGCUAGCGUUGUUCGGAAUUAUUGGGCGUAAAGGGCGCGUAGGCGGCCGUGUAAGUCUGAUGUGAAAUCCCUCGGCUCAACCGGGGAACUGCAUUUGAAACUGUUCGGCUCGAGUCCGGGAGAGGGUAGUGGAAUUCCCAGUGUAGCGGUGAAAUGCGUAGAUAUUGGGAGGAACACCGGUGGCGAAGGCGGCUACCUGGACCGGUACUGACGCUGAGGCGCGAAAGCGUGGGGAGCGAACAGG
This 253-nucleotide ribosomal RNA is filed under the name uncultured bacterium. RNAcentral's name for it is "partial 16S ribosomal RNA". It matches the Rfam family "Bacterial small subunit ribosomal RNA", at positions 524 to 776 of the family's 1533-position model. The record is from RNAcentral.